CAGUCGCCGCGGGAAUACGGAGGGAGCUAGCGUUGUUCGGAAUUACUGGGCGUAAAGCGCACGUAGGCGGCUUUGUAAGUUAGAGGUGAAAGCCUGGAGCUCAACUCCAGAAUUGCCUUUAAGACUGCAUCGCUUGAAUCCAGGAGAGGUGAGUGGAAUUCCGAGUGUAGAGGUGAAAUUCGUAGAUAUUCGGAAGAACACCAGUGGCGAAGGCGGCUCACUGGACUGGUAUUGACGCUGAGGUGCGAAAGCGUGGGGAGCAAACAGGAUUAGAUACCCCAGUAGUCCCUGUCUCUUAUAC
This 301-nucleotide ribosomal RNA is filed under the name uncultured bacterium. Its description in RNAcentral is "partial 16S ribosomal RNA". It matches the Rfam family "Bacterial small subunit ribosomal RNA", at positions 509 to 807 of the family's 1533-position model. The record is from RNAcentral.